CAGCCGCCACGGUAAUACAGAGGGUGCGAGCGUUAAUCGGAUUUACUGGGCGUAAAGCGUGCGUAGGCGGCUUUUUAAGUCGGAUGUGAAAUCCCUGAGCUUAACUUAGGAAUUGCAUUCGAUACUGGGAAGCUAGAGUAUGGGAGAGGAUGGUAGAAUUCCAGGUGUAGCGGUGAAAUGCGUAGAGAUCUGGAGGAAUACCGAUGGCGAAGGCAGCCAUCUGGCCUAAUACUGACGCUGAGGUACGAAAGCAUAGGGAGCAAACAGGAUUAGAUACCCCCGUAGUCCCUGUCUCUUAUAC
RNAcentral lists this ribosomal RNA (301 nucleotides) under uncultured bacterium. RNAcentral's name for it is "partial 16S ribosomal RNA". It matches the Rfam family "Bacterial small subunit ribosomal RNA", at positions 509 to 807 of the family's 1533-position model. The record is from RNAcentral.